AUGGAUGGAGCCAGUAGUGCAAGCGGCGGCGAAGGCUCAGCAGAGCCGCAUCGGUCACCGCCACCGCCAGAACGGCGGUACAAGGGCGUCCGGCUGCGGAAAUGGGGCCGGUGGGUGUCGGAGAUCCGCAUGCCCAACAGCCGCGAGAGGAUAUGGCUCGGCUCCCACCAGUCCGCCGAGAAGGCGGCGCGUGCGUUCGACGCGGCAGCCGUCUGCCUCCGCGGCUCCCGCGCCGGGUCUCUCAACUUCCCAGAGUUCCCGCCCGACGUGCAGCACGUCCCUGGCAUAGUGCCUACCCCCGAGCGUAUCCAGGCGGCGGCCACGAGGCACGCGAACCGCCCAUAUCCGAUUCCGGCGGGCCGGGCAAUGACGGUCACCACUGCUAUGCCAUCGCAGGAAGUGACGAGCACGUGCAAUGCCAUAGCUGUAAAGUCAUCGCCGUCCGCUGGCAAUGCCGCUGCCUACGACGAUGUGCUUGAUUGGUCGUUCAUGGAUGCGUUGCCGUCGAUGCCUGCGUCGUCGGCGCCGGGGACCAAUGUUCCGGUUAUGGAUGAUGUUAUGUUCGGUUUCUCGCCGAUGCCGCCACCGCCACCGCCAGAAGAGCCGGACGAGGAUAUGAUCGACGAUGAUGGUGAUGACCAUGCAUUUAUAUCUGACCUCUGGAGGUUCUGA
This 672-nucleotide ribosomal RNA is filed under the name Triticum aestivum (bread wheat). Its description in RNAcentral is "partial small subunit ribosomal RNA". The record is from RNAcentral. Lineage: Eukaryota; Viridiplantae; Streptophyta; Magnoliopsida; Poales; Poaceae.